AAGUCGUAACAAGGUAACCGUAGGUGAACCUGCGGUUGGAUCAUUAAAAAUGAAUAAAGAGUUUGACCAAAAAUUAGGCUCUUUUUUACAUUUGUGAAUUGUUUAUUGUCUCUUGCUCAUUUUAAUUAAUGGGCAAAAACUCUUAUAACCUAGUAUUGAAAAUUGACUUUGUUGAAUUAAUUAAAUUUAAAACAACUUUUGACAACGGAUCUCUAGGCUCUC
Molecule: unclassified non-coding RNA, 222 nt
Filed under: fungal sp.
Lineage: Eukaryota; Fungi
Also listed under: 1 other name
Description: partial internal transcribed spacer region
Rfam family: Eukaryotic small subunit ribosomal RNA (bases 1-46)
Source: RNAcentral